This 253-nucleotide ribosomal RNA is filed under the name uncultured bacterium. Its description in RNAcentral is "partial 16S ribosomal RNA". It matches the Rfam family "Bacterial small subunit ribosomal RNA", at positions 524 to 776 of the family's 1533-position model. The record is from RNAcentral.
GACGGAGGGUGCAAGCGUUGUUCGGAAUUACUGGGCGUAAAGGGCGCGUAGGUGGCCCGCUAAGUCGAACGUGAAAUCCCUGGGCUCAACCCAGGAACUGCGUCCGAUACUGGCAGGCUUGAAUCCGGGAGAGGGAUGUGGAAUUCCAGGUGUAGCGGUGAAAUGCGUAGAUAUCUGGAGGAACACCGGUGGCGAAGGCGGCAUCCUGGACCGGUAUUGACGCUGAUGCGCGAAAGCCAGGGGAGCAAACGGG